RNAcentral lists this ribosomal RNA (489 nucleotides) under Triticum aestivum (bread wheat). Its description in RNAcentral is "partial small subunit ribosomal RNA". Lineage: Eukaryota; Viridiplantae; Streptophyta; Magnoliopsida; Poales; Poaceae. The record is from RNAcentral.
AUGGUGAACCCAAGCAGGGCUAAAACCAGACAGACACGGAUACAGACUGCAGACGGCCCGGGCUUUGGGCAAUGCAAAGACAUAAAAGAAACUAACAGCAUCAGCCAGCGCUGCGACCAAGCUAGAACAGAGCUAGACCUGCACAUUCAGGAGAGAGCGACCAGCAAAGGACCCGGUUGGGUUGGCAUCAGCCUGGGCGAGGCGAGCGAUACCAGAGGAGGAGGCUUGUGCUUGAGCAUGGGCGUUGAUGGCAUCGGCAUUGAGGUCGCAGUGGAAAGCCAGCUGCUUGAGUUUGCCUCUGGUGAGCGGCGAAGGAGCACCAGAGAGGGGAAGAUCCAGCAGCUCAGACACGGCAGCCACCUUGGGAGCCUUGCGACGGUUGCCAGGCGAAGGGGAUCGCCUGCCUGGGGCGCUGGAGAGGCGGCACCCGCCGCUGCCGCCUUCCUUUUGGCCGCACGUUUGACAGAUCCCACACGCUCUCCAUCAUAG